This 1073-nucleotide long non-coding RNA is filed under the name Sus scrofa (pig). RNAcentral's name for it is "lncRNA (ENSSSCG00040042944.1)". The record is from RNAcentral. Lineage: Eukaryota; Metazoa; Chordata; Mammalia; Artiodactyla; Suidae.
AUGAGUAUUAACUGGUGUGUAUUUGCAUAUUCCAUGUCCCUAUGUAUAUAUUUUAGGAACACGCAGAGUCUCAGAGAACAAGAUUUUACAAAUGUAUGCACACCUGGAAAUACAUCCAUUCAACCUUGUGGAAUAGUGGAAAGAGCUCUGGACAACAUGGAAGAACAAACUGUAUUCACUUUCUGGAUCUUCCCCUUCCUAGAUUUAAUGUGGCCUCGAUUCCCUUGAUUACAGAUGUGACUCCCUUCUACUGGCCAUCAAUCCUUCAUUCCAAAUAAGAAGUGGUGAAAUGUGAAGGAGAAAGGCUCAGGUGAGCUGAAUCUAUCCUGUUUUAUCAAGAAAAUAACAGCUGUCCCAGUAGUGUUUCCUGGUGACUUCCUUUGACUCAUUAGGACAGUGUGGUAUGACUGCCCUUUUUAUAAGGUAGCCUGGGGAAUUGAUGUGAAUUUUAGCUGCAGACAAUGACACCAUGCACAAAAGUGGGGUUCUAUGAAAAGCACGGCUAUAUUUGUGCCAGGCAUCAGUAUCUGACACCAGAACAAUAUUUGGGAAAAUGAGAGCUGUAGCUCAGUAAAAAAUUAAGAGAGUGAUCUAUGAAGCUUAGAAAGAGAUGGUUCUCAUUGAAAAAUACACUUGGCAACUAGCUAAAAAAAGGAUCAUAAGGGAGUCAUACUCAAACACUUAAGUACAUUCUCUGUUAACCUCCCUGUUGGUCUAAUUACUUGGGUGCCAAAGAGUAGUAUCCUACUAAUAACUAAAAGAUACUUUUUUUUUUUGCUUUUUUUUUUUUUUUUUUUUUUUUUUUUUNACACUUGCAGCAUAUGGAAGUUGCCAGGCUAGGGGUUGGAUCAGAGUUACAGCCACCGGCCUACCCCACAGCCACAGCAACGUGGGAUCCAAGCUGUGUCUGCAACCUAUACCACGUCUCAUGGCAACAUCACAACCCCAAUCCACUGAGUGAGGCCAGGGAUUGAACCCACAUCCUUAUGGAUACUAGUCGGAUUCAUUUCCACUGCACAACAGGAACUCCCAAAAAUACGAUUUAUACUGCAAUAAAAGGGCUACUUAGGACA